AACGUAGGACGCGAGCGUUAUCCGGAGUUACUGGGCGUAAAGCGCGGGCAGGCGGCCUGACAAGUCUGAUGUGAAAUCACCCGGCUCAACCGGGCGAGGCCAUUGGAAACUGACAGGCUGGAGGGCAGUAGAGGUAGGCGGAAUUCCGGGUGGAGUGGUGAAAUGCGUAGAGAUCCGGAGGAACACCAGAGGCGAAGGCGGCCUACUGGGCUGCACCUGACGCUGAGCCGCGAAAGCCAGGGGAGCGAACGGGAUUAGAAACCCCAGUAGUCC
This 273-nucleotide ribosomal RNA is filed under the name uncultured bacterium. Its description in RNAcentral is "partial 16S ribosomal RNA". It matches the Rfam family "Bacterial small subunit ribosomal RNA", at positions 524 to 796 of the family's 1533-position model. The record is from RNAcentral.